This 496-nucleotide ribosomal RNA is filed under the name uncultured bacterium. RNAcentral describes it as "bacterial SSU rRNA". It matches the Rfam family "Bacterial small subunit ribosomal RNA", at positions 903 to 1397 of the family's 1533-position model. The record is from RNAcentral.
AAAGGAAUAGACGGGGGCCCGCACAAGCGGUGGAGCAUGUGGUUUAAUUCGAUGCAACGCGAAGAACCUUACCUACUCUUGACAUCCAGAGAAUUCUGCAGAGAUGCGGAAGUGCCUUCGGGAACUCUGAGACAGGUGCUGCAUGGCUGUCGUCAGCUCGUGUUGUGAGAUGUUGGGUUAAGUCCCGUAACGAGCGCAACCCUUAUCCUUGUUUGCCAUCAGGUAAUGCUGGGCACUGUAAGGAGACUGCCGGUGACAAACCGGAGGAAGGUGGGGACGACGUCAAGUCAUCAUGGCCCUUAUGAGUAGGGCUACACACGUGCUACAAUGGUUGGGUACAGAGGGGAGCGAAGCAGUGAUGCGGAGCGAAUCUCAGAAAACCCAUCGUAGUCCGGAUUGCAGUCUGCAACUCGACUGCAUGAAGCUGGAAUCGCUAGUAAUCGCGGAUCAGAAUGCCGCGGUGAAUACGUUCCCGGGCCUUGUACACACCGCCCGU